RNAcentral lists this ribosomal RNA (366 nucleotides) under Triticum aestivum (bread wheat). Its description in RNAcentral is "partial small subunit ribosomal RNA". Lineage: Eukaryota; Viridiplantae; Streptophyta; Magnoliopsida; Poales; Poaceae. The record is from RNAcentral.
AUGAAGACUCCACCAAGGAAAUGCUCCUUGAGGAUUCUCAAGCCGCUUGAGCCAUGCAUCCGUGUCGGCUACGAUAUGAGAACAAUGAACACACCUUGGAUGCAAACGGCCAGGAUCUUGGAUCGGCUACAGCUUCACUGGCGAAGAGUGAAACCACCACCUACUGUCAUCGGGUGGGAAGAAGAACCAUAUUCUCCUUCCAGAGGAACCAAUAUAUCGCAUGGUCAGAACAGAGAUUCAACCAGCGCAGAUCCAGCUUCGCUCGCUUCUUGUCGGUGGCAAACAACACACUGCCGGCACAAGGACAAAGUCGGGGGGACUUAUUCAACGGAAAAGUUGCCGCCUUUAUCUCGGCUCCCUCCCUAG